UUACUCUUGAUUUUUGUAUGAACUUUUGAAUUGAGAAAGAGAGAACAUAACUUGGUGAAUGAAGUGAAGGUUUCGUUAUGCUGUCGAGCUGCUGAAUGGAUGUGUGACUUGGAUCUACUUUGGAUGCUCGCGUUUGGGCUUGAAGCCCUAGUUGGCCCAAGUAUUUCAAUUCAUACCCCUCCAAUUGAUGUUCAUACCCCUCCAAUUGAUGUUCAUACCCCUUCCUCCUCCAUUUUCA
Molecule: long non-coding RNA, 238 nt
Filed under: Lathyrus oleraceus (garden pea)
Lineage: Eukaryota; Viridiplantae; Streptophyta; Magnoliopsida; Fabales; Fabaceae
Description: Pisum sativum (pea) long non-coding RNA (PSAT_LNC025149)
Source: RNAcentral